AGAACCAACAGGGAUUACCUCAGUAACGGCGAGUGAAGCGGUAACAGCUCAAAUUUGAAAUCUGGCUCUUUCAGGGUCCGAGUUGUAAUUUGUAGAAGAUGCUUUGGGUGUGGCUCCAAUCUAAGUUCCUUGGAACAGGACGUCAUAGAGGGUGAGAAUCCCGUAUGUGAUUGGUGGCUUUCGCCCGUGUAAAGCUCUUUCGACGAGUCGAGUUGUUUGGGAAUGCAGCUCAAAAUGGGUGGUAAAUUUCAUCUAAAGCUAAAUAUUGGCCAGAGACCGAUAGCGCACAAGUAGAGUGAUCGAAAGAUGAAAAGCACUUUGGAAAGAGAGUUAAACAGUACGUGAAAUUGUUGAAAGGGAAGCGUUGGCAACCAGACUCGUAUGCCGCUAAUCAUCCGGGGUUCUCCCCGGUGCACUUGGUGGUUUUCGGGCCAGCAUCGGUUUUGGUGGUGGGAUAAAGGCCUUGGGAAUGUAGCUUCUUUCGGGGAGUGUUAUAGCCCUCGGUGCAAUGCCGCCUACCGGGACCGAGGACCGCGCUUCGGCUAGGAUGCUGGCGUAAUGGUUGUCAACGGCCCGUCUUGAAACACGGACCAAGGAGUCUAACAUCUAUGCGAGUAUUUGGGUGUUAAACCCAUAUGCGUAAUGAAAGUGAACGGAGGUAAGAGCCCUUAAGGGUGCAUUAUCGACCGAUCCUGAUGUCUUCGGAUGGAUUUGAGUAAGAGCAUAGCUGUUGGGACCCGAAAGAUGGUGAACUAUGCCUAAAUAGGGUGAAGCCAGAGGAAACUCUGGUGGAGGCUCGCAGCGGUUCUGACGUGCAAUCGAUCGUCAAAUUUGGGUAUAGGGGCGAAAGACUAAUCGAACCAUUGGAACCUCUACUAGUGGUAAGAGGCGCAAGCCUAGUCCUGUCAAGGCAACAUUGUCAAAUUGUUCGGGGACCUCCCACACGUCUCAGCUACCGCAGCCUGACCAAAAGCGA
This 976-nucleotide ribosomal RNA is filed under the name Erioscyphella sclerotii. Its description in RNAcentral is "partial large subunit ribosomal RNA". It matches the Rfam family "Eukaryotic large subunit ribosomal RNA", at positions 56 to 1016 of the family's 3401-position model. The record is from RNAcentral. Lineage: Eukaryota; Fungi; Ascomycota; Leotiomycetes; Helotiales; Lachnaceae.